Molecule: ribosomal RNA, 2222 nt
Filed under: Serratia nevei
Lineage: Bacteria; Pseudomonadati; Pseudomonadota; Gammaproteobacteria; Enterobacterales; Yersiniaceae
Description: partial 23S ribosomal RNA
Rfam family: Bacterial large subunit ribosomal RNA
Source: RNAcentral
UAGCCAUGGGCAGGUUGAAGGUUGGGUAACACUAACUGGAGGACCGAACCGACUAAUGUUGAAAAAUUAGCGGAUGACUUGUGGCUGGGGGUGAAAGGCCAAUCAAACCGGGAGAUAGCUGGUUCUCCCCGAAAGCUAUUUAGGUAGCGCCUCGUGAACUCAUCUUCGGGGGUAGAGCACUGUUUCGGCUAGGGGGCCAUCCCGGCUUACCAAACCGAUGCAAACUCCGAAUACCGAAGAAUGUUAUCACGGGAGACACACGGCGGGUGCUAACGUCCGUCGUGAAGAGGGAAACAACCCAGACCGCCAGCUAAGGUCCCAAAGUCAUGGUUAAGUGGGAAACGAUGUGGGAAGGCAUAGACAGCCAGGAUGUUGGCUUAGAAGCAGCCAUCAUUUAAAGAAAGCGUAAUAGCUCACUGGUCGAGUCGGCCUGCGCGGAAGAUGUAACGGGGCUAAACCAUGCACCGAAGCUGCGGCAGCGACGCUUAGGCGUUGUUGGGUAGGGGAGCGUUCUGUAAGCCGUUGAAGGUGGCCUGUGAGGGUUGCUGGAGGUAUCAGAAGUGCGAAUGCUGACAUAAGUAACGAUAAAGCGGGUGAAAAGCCCGCUCGCCGGAAGACCAAGGGUUCCUGUCCAACGUUAAUCGGGGCAGGGUGAGUCGACCCCUAAGGCGAGGCUGAAAAGCGUAGUCGAUGGGAAACAGGUUAAUAUUCCUGUACUUGGUGUUACUGCGAAGGGGGGACGGAGAAGGCUAGGCUAGCCGGGCGACGGUUGUCCCGGUUUAAGCGUGUAGGGGGUGUGACCUGGUAAAUCCGGUUACAUAUCAACCCUGAGGCGUGAUGACGAUGCACUACGGUGCAGAAGUAGUUGAUGCCCUGCUUCCAGGAAAAGCCUCUAAGCUCCAGGUAACAUUGAAUCGUACCCCAAACCGACACAGGUGGUCAGGUAGAGAAUACCAAGGCGCUUGAGAGAACUCGGGUGAAGGAACUAGGCAAAAUGGUGCCGUAACUUCGGGAGAAGGCACGCUGGCAUGUAGGUGAAGUCCCUUGCGGAUGGAGCUGAAGCCAGUCGAAGAUACCAGCUGGCUGCAACUGUUUAAUAAAAACACAGCACUGUGCAAACACGAAAGUGGACGUAUACGGUGUGACGCCUGCCCGGUGCUGGAAGGUUAAUUGAUGGGGUCAGCCGCAAGGCGAAGCUCUUGAUCGAAGCCCCAGUAAACGGCGGCCGUAACUAUAACGGUCCUAAGGUAGCGAAAUUCCUUGUCGGGUAAGUUCCGACCUGCACGAAUGGCGUAAUGAUGGCCAGGCUGUCUCCACCCGAGACUCAGUGAAAUUGAACUCGCUGUGAAGAUGCAGUGUACCCGCGGCAAGACGGAAAGACCCCGUGAACCUUUACUAUAGCUUGACACUGAACAUUGAGCCUUGAUGUGUAGGAUAGGUGGGAGGCUUUGAAGCGUGGACGCCAGUCUGCGUGGAGCCAUCCUUGAAAUACCACCCUUUAAUGUUUGAUGUUCUAACUCGGCCCCAUAAUCUGGGGUGAGGACAGUGUCUGGUGGGUAGUUUGACUGGGGCGGUCUCCUCCCAAAGAGUAACGGAGGAGCACGAAGGUUAGCUAAUCACGGUCGGACAUCGUGAGGUUAGUGCAAAGGCAUAAGCUAGCUUGACUGCGAGAGUGACGGCUCGAGCAGGUACGAAAGUAGGUCUUAGUGAUCCGGUGGUUCUGAAUGGAAGGGCCAUCGCUCAACGGAUAAAAGGUACUCCGGGGAUAACAGGCUGAUACCGCCCAAGAGUUCAUAUCGACGGCGGUGUUUGGCACCUCGAUGUCGGCUCAUCACAUCCUGGGGCUGAAGUAGGUCCCAAGGGUAUGGCUGUUCGCCAUUUAAAGUGGUACGCGAGCUGGGUUUAGAACGUCGUGAGACAGUUCGGUCCCUAUCUGCCGUGGGCGUUGGAAGAUUGAGAGGGGUUGCUCCUAGUACGAGAGGACCGGAGUGAACGCACCACUGGUGUUCGGGUUGUCAUGCCAAUGGCAUUGCCCGGUAGCUAAGUGCGGAAAAGAUAAGCGCUGAAAGCAUCUAAGCGCGAAACUUGCCUCAAGAUGAGUCUUCCCUGGGCCUUUAAGGCCCCUGAAGGAACGUUUAAGACUAAGACGUUGAUAGGCUGGGUGUGUAAGUGCAGCGAUGCAUUGAGCUAACCAGUACUAAUGAUCCGUGAGGCUUAACCUU